RNAcentral lists this ribosomal RNA (332 nucleotides) under uncultured bacterium. RNAcentral's name for it is "bacterial SSU rRNA". It matches the Rfam family "Bacterial small subunit ribosomal RNA", at positions 568 to 898 of the family's 1533-position model. The record is from RNAcentral.
UGUGUAGGCGGCUUUUUAAGUUUGGUGUGAAAUCUCCCGGCUCAACCGGGAGGGUGCGCCGAAUACUGAGAGGCUAGAGUGCGGGAGAGGAAAGUGGAAUUCCUGGUGUAGCGGUGAAAUGCGUAGAUAUCAGGAGGAACACCGGUGGUGUAGACGGCUUUCUGGACCGUAACUGACGCUGAGACACGAAAGCGUGGGUAGCAAACAGGAUUAGAUACCCUGGUAGUCCACGCCCUAAACGAUGCAUAUUUGGUGUGGGUCAUUCAGUUGAUCCGUGCCGGAGCUAACGCGUUAAAUAUGCCCGCCGUGGGGAGUACAGUCGCAAGGCUGAA